GUCCUGCUAGAGAUCACACGAAGCUCCGUCGUCACGAUAAUUACAGAUCGAAAAAUUAUAAACAUCGUGAGAGUCCAUUGUAUAGAUGGCAUAGGUGGCGCAAUGCGCAACGCGAAAGGUCCACUUAGUCUCCUUGCUACCGAUACAUCCGCCAUUUUGAGUUAUUUUGUGCUACCGAUGGCUGCGGAGUUUCGUCGUCUCGUUGAUUACAAUUUUUAUUCAUCAUAUACAACUAAUCCAUCGACUUGAACACAUUCAACUACAACUAUCGUCUACUUUCUUCUAUGGAGGCUCUUCUUACGCAGUAUGUACAAAAAUUUUAAUUACAUUUCAAUUAAUA
This is a long non-coding RNA of Vespula pensylvanica (western yellowjacket), 340 nucleotides long. RefSeq lists it as uncharacterized. NCBI's taxonomy places the organism in Eukaryota, Metazoa, Arthropoda, Insecta, Hymenoptera, Vespidae. The transcript is spliced from 4 exons. The record is from RefSeq and is a predicted model, not a curated record.